This 22-nucleotide microRNA is filed under the name Oryctolagus cuniculus (rabbit). RNAcentral's name for it is "ocu-miR-146b-3p". Its record names the gene ocu-miR-146b-3p. Lineage: Eukaryota; Metazoa; Chordata; Mammalia; Lagomorpha; Leporidae. The record is from miRBase by way of RNAcentral.
GCCCUGGGGACUCAGUUCUGGU